Molecule: ribosomal RNA, 1173 nt
Filed under: Escherichia coli
Lineage: Bacteria; Pseudomonadati; Pseudomonadota; Gammaproteobacteria; Enterobacterales; Enterobacteriaceae
Description: partial 23S ribosomal RNA
Rfam family: Bacterial large subunit ribosomal RNA
Source: RNAcentral
GGGUUGUGAGGUUAAGCGACUAAGCGUACACGGUGGAUGCCCUGGCAGUCAGAGGCGAUGAAGGACGUGCUAAUCUGCGAUAAGCGUCGGUAAGGUGAUAUGAACCGUUAUAACCGGCGAUUUCCGAAUGGGGAAACCCAGUGUGAUUCGUCACACUAUCAUUAACUGAAUCCAUAGGUUAAUGAGGCGAACCGGGGGAACUGAAACAUCUAAGUACCCCGAGGAAAAGAAAUCAACCGAGAUUCCCCCAGUAGCGGCGAGCGAACGGGGAGCAGCCCAGAGCCUGAAUCAGUGUGUGUGUUAGUGGAAGCGUCUGGAAAGGCGCGCGAUACAGGGUGACAGCCCCGUACACAAAAAUGCACAUGCUGUGAGCUCGAUGAGUAGGGCGGGACACGUGGUAUCCUGUCUGAAUAUGGGGGGACCAUCCUCCAAGGCUAAAUACUCCUGACUGACCGAUAGUGAACCAGUACCGUGAGGGAAAGGCGAAAAGAACCCCGGCGAGGGGAGUGAAAAAGAACCUGAAACCGUGUACGUACAAGCAGUGGGAGCACGCUUAGGCGUGUGACUGCGUACCUUUUGUAUAAUGGGUCAGCGACUUAUAUUCUGUAGCAAGGUUAACCGAAUAGGGGAGCCGAAGGGAAACCGAGUCUUAACUGGGCGUUAAGUUGCAGGGUAUAGACCCGAAACCCGGUGAUCUAGCCAUGGGCAGGUUGAAGGUUGGGUAACACUAACUGGAGGACCGAACCGACUAAUGUUGAAAAAUUAGCGGAUGACUUGUGGCUGGGGGUGAAAGGCCAAUCAAACCGGGAGAUAGCUGGUUCUCCCCGAAAGCUAUUUAGGUAGCGCCUCGUGAAUUCAUCUCCGGGGGUAGAGCACUGUUUCGGCAAGGGGGUCAUCCCGACUUACCAACCCGAUGCAAACUGCGAAUACCGGAGAAUGUUAUCACGGGAGACACACGGCGGGUGCUAACGUCCGUCGUGAAGAGGGAAACAACCCAGACCGCCAGCUAAGGUCCCAAAGUCAUGGUUAAGUGGGAAACGAUGUGGGAAGGCCCAGACAGCCAGGAUGUUGGCUUAGAAGCAGCCAUCAUUUAAAGAAAGCGUAAUAGCUCACUGGUCGAGUCGGCCUGCGCGGAAGAUGUAACGGGGCUAAACCAUGCACCGAAGCUGCGGC